CUGUCUGGUCUGUAACUGACGCUGAGGCUCGAAAGCAUGGGUAGCGAACAGGAUUAGAUACCCUGGUAGUCCAUGCCGUAAACGAUGAAUGCUAGGUGUUGGAGGGUUUCCGCCCUUCAGUGCCGCAGCUAACGCAUUAAGCAUUCCGCCUGGGGAGUACGACCGCAAGGUUGAAACUCAAAGGAAUUGACGGGGGCCCGCACAAGCGGUGGAGCAUGUGGUUUAAUUCGAAGCAACGCGAAGAACCUUACUAGGUCUUGACAUCUUUUGAUCACCUGAGAGAUCAGGUUUCCCCUUCGGGGGCAAAAUGACAGGUGGUGCAUGGUUGUCGUCAGCUCGUGUCGUGAGAUGUUGGGUUAAGUCCCGCAACGAGCGCAACCCUUAUGACUAGUUGCCAGCAUUUAGUUGGGCACUCUAGUAAGACUGCCGGUGACAAACCGGAGGAAGGUGGGGAUGACGUCAAAUCAUCAUGCCCCUUAUGACCUGGGCUACACACGUGCUACAAUGGAUGGUACAACGAGUUGCGAGACCGCGAGGUCAAGCUAAUCUCUUAAAGCCAUUCUCAGUUCGGACUGUAGGCUGCAACUCGCCUACACGAAGUCGGAAUCGCUAGUAAUCGCGGAUCAGCACGCCGCGGUGAAUACGUUCCCGGGCCUUGUACACACCGCCCGUCACACCAUGAGAGUUUGUAACACCCGAAGCCGGUGGCGUAACCCUUUUAGGGAGCGAGCCGUCUAAGGUGGGACAAAUGAUUAGGGUGAAGUCGUAACAAGGUAACCGUA
This 782-nucleotide ribosomal RNA is filed under the name uncultured bacterium. Its description in RNAcentral is "bacterial SSU rRNA". It matches the Rfam family "Bacterial small subunit ribosomal RNA", at positions 725 to 1504 of the family's 1533-position model. The record is from RNAcentral.